AGUACGAAAAUACUUACAGAAUUAAAGAUUCCGUUAAAAGGAUUCUGUUUAUAGUGCUUCCUUAGGUUUAUUGAGGGUCUGAAUAACGGUGCGUGGGCCUUUGACAGUCAGACAAUGAAGAACGGCGCACAGGUAUCAGGACAUAACAGCGGUAAUGUCAGGUCUUGUGAUGUGGGAGCUCAGUCGCUCUAAUAUGCCGGUGGCUAGUGGUACGAAAAAGAUUUUAUUAUACGAGAAGAUGGAAUGCAAGUUAGAUUUUCCAGGGAAAAGGGCGGAUAAAUAGUUUAGGAAAGAUUCGGUGAUUUAGAACUCACUCGUGUACGUAAACAGUACACAGGACACCCACAUAUAGCACGCAACCGGUGCAAGUUUUAUCAACUAAGUAUAUCAACUAAGAUCUUCGAAUGCUGCGAGAAGUAAACCGUUACCUUUUUAGAUGUAUCCUGUCGAUGCAAGUAUCACCAUAAUCGCUUCUCCACAAGCGCAAUCUAGUAUCCAAACGUUGAGGCAAUUCAAUGCUUUUGUAUAGCUAUUGUUUAAAACGUAACACAGCUUGAACAAUUUCAAUACGUAAUACAAGCCACAAGUAUUGCCAGAUUGUGUGUCACCAAUGGAGUACAGUCCAUACGACUCAGUACUUACUCAAUCAUAACCAUCAAUGUAAUAUCAAUCAACAAGCAGUCAUAACGUAUAACCGGAUCAUCAACUGGAACGUAUGUGCAACAAUUUCCAUAUAUAGAUGACAUAUCACAAAUACAGUCGCAAGAAAAAUUAAUGUUAUACAGGGUAACACAAACCUAUAACGAAGGAU
Bombus impatiens (common eastern bumble bee) is the source of this 811-nucleotide long non-coding RNA. RefSeq lists it as uncharacterized. NCBI's taxonomy places the organism in Eukaryota, Metazoa, Arthropoda, Insecta, Hymenoptera, Apidae. The record is from RefSeq and is a predicted model, not a curated record. The transcript has 3 exons.